Molecule: transfer RNA, 74 nt
Filed under: Pseudomonas phage pf16
Lineage: Duplodnaviria; Heunggongvirae; Uroviricota; Caudoviricetes
Rfam family: tRNA
About the family: Transfer RNA (tRNA) molecules are approximately 80 nucleotides in length.
Source: Rfam by way of RNAcentral
GGGACGCUAACUCAGUUGGUUAGAGUAUCGGCCUUUUAAGCCGAGGGUCCUGUGUUCGAAUCACAGGCGUCCCA